UACGUAGGGCGCAAGCGUUGUCCGGAAUUAUUGGGCGUAAAGAGCUCGUAGGCGGCUUGUCACGUCGGGUGUGAAAGCCCGGGGCUUAACCCCGGGUCUGCAUUCGAUACGGGCUAGCUAGAGUGUGGUAGGGGAGACUGGAAUUCCUGGUGUAGCGGUGAAAUGCGCAGAUAUCAGGAGGAACACCGGUGGCGAAGGCGGGUCUCUGGGCCGAUACUGACGCUGAGGAGCGAAAGCGUGGGGAGCAAACAGG
RNAcentral lists this ribosomal RNA (253 nucleotides) under uncultured bacterium. RNAcentral's name for it is "partial 16S ribosomal RNA". It matches the Rfam family "Bacterial small subunit ribosomal RNA", at positions 524 to 776 of the family's 1533-position model. The record is from RNAcentral.